RNA transcript from Nomia melanderi (Alkali bee), 1100 nucleotides. RefSeq lists it as uncharacterized. Lineage: Eukaryota; Metazoa; Arthropoda; Insecta; Hymenoptera; Halictidae. The record is from RefSeq and is a predicted model, not a curated record.
UCCGAAGGACCGGGCUGCGUCUCGAGUUGUGCAAGGACCAGCGGAUCGGCGAUCUCGUUGGCAGUUCGUGUAAACAGCAAGUAACCUCCUUUAGUUAACUAGCUCGUUGGCCAUGCGUCGCGUCCAGCAAAUAAUCCGCGUCGCGCUUUUCGCCGCGACGUUGCUCACCGCGCUCGAGGCGUCCAUCGCGGACCCGCGGAUACCCUUGACGUGCAAGAACAUCGCCAGGGACGUGAUCAUGAAUAGCUGCAAGGGAGGAUCGAAGACCAGGCGAUCGCUGGAUCUUAAUGACAUGGAGAAACCACUGCCGAUCGAUGCGUCAGAGUUGCCGCAGGACGAGCCGCACGCGACGCAGAAAAAGCGACAAUGGGGUCUGGGACAAUUGUUGCCUGGCAUGGGCAUGGAAAUGGCGAACAACUAUCAUGAUACGGAGUUGCACACCCCGUUACUUGAUUUCCAAGAUAAUCAGGGCUCCGACUUUAUCCAGGAGCAGUUUGGGCCAGAAUUUGGGCCUGGCGGUUUCUUGCAAAGGCCUUAUGGAUCAUUGGGACCGUACCGCAUGGCGAGGUCUUCUCUGAAUUCUAAUAAACUGUUGGGAUACCAGUUGACUCCAGAGGAACUCGAGGAACUGCACGUGGAGAUUGGCGAACGAAUGCCGAGGAACUCGAAGGAGGUGAACAAGAAGAUUUUCCUGAACGUAGCAGCGAAAUGCUGUCCAGACGCUAAGGUGUGCUACGAAAAUCCGAGCGUCGUUCCGUGCGGAGGAUAUUCAAUCGUAUCCUAAUACGAAAGGAGUGUUUGAGAAUGGAAUGUUUAUCUGAAGUGAAUCGAGAAAAAGAAAUUGGGACUGCAUUUUGACGGAAGGUCGAAUGUGUAAGAAGUAAAACAGUUAAUGAUCUAACGUGUCUUUCUACUGAUUGCCGGCUGAAAAGGCGAAGAUUCUAUCAUUGUCCCUCGUGUACGGCUAUCGUCCCGACACGUUCGUGCCAACGUGACCGGUUAAUAAUUCAAUCUGCCAGAAGAUGCACCGUUCAGGAAUCGGCAUCGCCCAGCGGAACUUGAAAAAAUGGUUCUCCGUAACGAGAAUAUAAACAAGAAGA